CCCGACACACGCACAUACACAAACAUUGAAGCACAUCAAAACUUACGUCUGUCCUUAAAUUCCUGAGCGUAGCUGAAACAGAAAUAAUUUGGAUGAGUUGAAUACUUUAUCAGCAUGUUGUCACAAACAUGUUCAGAGAUUGUGGAGAACAGAUCCCUGCCAGGAGACCUGCCCUUUGUCACCUGCUCUGUACCUCUCAUAAAGGAUGAUAGUUGUGAUUAAACACUGACAUCCUGCAUGCUUGUUCACUUGGCUUGAGCACUGCUUGAACCUCAAUUGACCUGGCCACAGAUCCAUCUGGUGUGGAGGGGGAAAGAGAGGUGAAGUGCCCUUUGACCUUUUGAAGGAGAGUGGAGCCGCUUCAUACCUCAUGGUCCUCGGCCGAGCUUGUUUGAUCUGGACUCACCUCAGUUCACACGUCUCAGCUUCUGGCACCAACCCAGAAAGAGGAGGGAUGUGAUGUAGAGCUGGUCGGAAUUGACCAGUUUAUUGGAAGAGCCCGAACUCAAGUUUUGUGAAGACAUACAGUACCUCUGAAAGUGCACCUAAGAUGAAUGAGGUCACCAGCAAAUACUAUGACAAUGUGACAGGUAAGUCAUAUCAGAAUCAGACCACCUGAACAGCCUCUGAACAUUAAGAAAGACAUCUGAGGGCGCGCUCUUGCCACUGUAAUUCACACUGCCUGCAGGGUACAGAGGUAUCUGUGAAGUUCAACUUUGUGAUGGAUGAGAUGGUGUCUUUGCCUUGCGGCCUCAAAGGGAUUAGGCUGCUCAGGUGUUGUUUUUAAAAGACUUAGAAUUAGCUCACAUUUAAACAUUUAAACUGUCUUUUGACACCACUUUCACCACCUUUUUGGUAAAAAAGAAGAUUGCCCCCACCCUGCAUUGCAGUAAACCUUAAGAUUAUGUUUGGUUCAUGACAACAAAAUUAUUUUAAGUGAUAUUUAAAAUUGUACAUAUGCAACUUUGUAAAACUUUGGCAGAGAUUUAAUUCUUUGGUUAUUAAUUACUGUAAAUUUAUUCAUGAAGCUUUUCUUGACGCUUUGAGUUGCUCAGUUCCACUGGGAGCAGUAACCUCUGUUAGUCUUUUGAUUCAGCAGUCCACACUUUGGCCUCAUUGCAGCCUCAGGAGAAUAAACACUUAUGCUAGAUGUAAAGAGAUGUUUGAGAAGCAGACCACGUAAGUGCAACCCGAAGAAGAAUAAUUGCAUACUUCAGGAAUUCUAUAAACAUGAUCUAUGAGAUAAUAUCAUGCUUCAUAGGACUAAUUUGUUCAUUUGUAUUCUGUGGUGUUGCUGUGGUUGGCCUCUGUUUAAGAUCCCUUAAAGGGAUGUUUUUACUUAAAAUGUAACAGUCUGUCAUCAUUUAUCUACCAUUAUGCCAUUUUAUCAGUGUUUCUAAUGCAAAACGCCAUAAAGAGGUAUUAACUGUUUUUCUUCAUCCAGUAAAAAUCCAAAAACACCAUUGGAUAUUUUUGUUCCAA
Danio rerio (zebrafish) is the source of this 1482-nucleotide non-coding RNA. The record is from Ensembl. NCBI's taxonomy places the organism in Eukaryota, Metazoa, Chordata, Actinopteri, Cypriniformes, Danionidae.